This 251-nucleotide ribosomal RNA is filed under the name uncultured bacterium. Its description in RNAcentral is "partial 16S ribosomal RNA". It matches the Rfam family "Bacterial small subunit ribosomal RNA", at positions 524 to 775 of the family's 1533-position model. The record is from RNAcentral.
UACGGAGGAUGCGAGCGUUAUCCGGAUUUAUUGGGUUUAAAGGGUGCGUAGGCGGACAGUCAAGUCAGCGGUAAAAAUGCGGUGCUCAACGCCGUACAGCCGUUGAAACUGGCAGUCUUGAGUGGGCGAGAAGUAUGCGGAAUGCGUGGUGUAGCGGUGAAAUGCAUAGAUAUCACGCAGAACUCCGAUUGCGAAGGCAGCAUACCGGCGCCCGACUGACGCUGAGGCACGAAAGCGUGGGUAUCGAACAG